UCUAAAUCCCUAAAAGUUCAGAAGUGGUAUUAUCAUUCGAAGUUUUUUUUAUGUGUGUGCUCGUUUCCGAUACAUUUAUAUUUUUUCGCUGAGUGUUUUCCAGCAUUACGUACACUCCGCGACAACGAUUCGUUUCGUGGUCCCUCUCGCGGGGCAAAGGGAGCGUAGCCUCUGACCAAUCAGCCACUGCCACGCUGCCAGCUAAUUCACGUCUACGCUUCCCUUGCCCCGUGAGAGAGGGGCCACGGAACGAAUCGUUGUCGCGCAGUAUACUCUAAGUAUACAGAGUCGCGAUUUAUGUGCUAAUUCAGACUUUUAGACUGAUAGUGCGCGAUAUUCAUUAAACAUUUUAUGAAUAUUAUCUAUAUCAAACAAUAACCAGUUGGGCACGUUGAUCUAACGAGUUAGCUCACCGUUGUGAUCACGUGAUACGAGAGUGUAACCGCCAUUGUGGUUACGUGAUAUAACAGUAUUCCUGCCUUUAUGUGCACGUGAUACGGGAGUGCCCACCAUUUAUGAGUACGUGAUAAGACAGUAUUCCAGCCUUUGUGUGCACGUAAAACUAAAAAAAAAUAAUAAUAAAUAUCAGUUAAAAAUAAUGGAUCGACACCGUUUGGAAAAUCUUUCCUUUCCGAAAUUGCAAGAAGAGGCGUUAUUUUAUGGACUUUCAGUAGAUGACAAUCGUAACAAGUGCAUUGACAUGAUUAUGACCUUCUUGGAAAGGUCUGCACCUCCUUUGGAUUAUUAUGGUGGAAAAACAGUUGAAGGAGAAAUUAACGCAACCGGUCCUUGAGCAACUCAAUCUUUACUUAAGUUCUUCAUAAAUUACGGAGGAUUUUACAACAGCUUCAUAUAGUGCUGCCAAAAUUUUAGUCAAUCAGAUCCCAUAUUUCAAUGAAUCAGACGAAGAGGAUAUUGAGUUAUGGCUUGAAAAAUUGGAAAGUCUGGCUCAAAUUAAUGGAUCAUCCCAUAAUGUUAUUUUGGCAGCAGCCAUAAUAAAAUUGGCAAAAACAGCACGUAAGUAGUUUGAUCGAGUUUCUGGAUUUGCUAAUACUUCUUGGCUAGAUUUCAGAAAAGCACUGCUCAGUCGUUUUAAAAGGGACAUCUUAUACACUAUGAAGAUAUAGAAAAUUGAACUUCGCAAAUGGCUUUUCUAUAAAGAAUCCUUUUCAGAGUACACUACUGAUAAAAUAACCUUAAUGAAAUCUUUAAGAUUGUUAGAUCAAGACGCAAUUCACCUACUUAUCAAUGAAAUCUCCAGUUUAUCUAUCAGAGCAGCAGCAGCGUCACUGCCUAAAAAUUCACUGGAUGAAUUUCUGAGGAAGAUGCAAUAUAUCACUUUUUCAUGCAAUCUCAAGAAAUCUUCACCUACGUUCAUAUGCAGAAACAAUCCUGCAUAAGGAUACUUCAUUAGGAAGAUCAGAUUCCCAGAAUAAAUCUACUGAAGAUACCUUCUGCUCUUAUUGUCGUGGCAGAAAUCAUACAAAAGAAAAGUGUUUUAAACUCAAGAAAAAAGAAAGGAUGUCAAGAAGUCCACAGCCUUGCGCAAUCUUCUAUUCUUCCAGUGGCAGCGAUCAGUGACUCAAUAGCUACAUCUUCAGUCACGAUAGCUUGCGUAGACUCUACUAACGAUUAAAGACAUGUCUUUACGUUACGAUUUUUUCUGUGCGUUGACUGAAGUUUAAGUUUACGUACGGAAUUAAAUUUACUAUUGAUACUUAACGUAACGUAAUGCGAUACGGAACACCUUGUACGGAACACCUAACGUAUAGAAAUACUACACCACGGUGACCAUAGUGCUACGAUAUUAACUAAAAAUCAAUUCAUACGACAGCUAAAUCCUUUUAUAAGAAAAAUGGACCGAAGAUAUCAGUUGAUAUUGAAGAUGAUGAAACCAACAAAAUUUAUACAAUAUUAGUAACAGUAGAAGAAGCCAAACGUUUAGAAACUGGUAAGAUUAUUAUUAAUAUUU
This is a long non-coding RNA of Camponotus floridanus (Florida carpenter ant), 1972 nucleotides long. RefSeq lists it as uncharacterized. The transcript has 4 exons. The record is from RefSeq and is a predicted model, not a curated record. NCBI's taxonomy places the organism in Eukaryota, Metazoa, Arthropoda, Insecta, Hymenoptera, Formicidae.